AGCGAACGUUAGCGGCGGGCUUAACACAUGCAAGUCGAACGUGAAAGCCUCUUCGGGGGCAAGUAAAGUGGCGUACGGGUGAGUAACACGUAGGUAACCUGUCCUGAGGUCCGGGAUAACCAUUGGAAACGAUGGCUAAUACCGGGUAAGUCUGAGACGUCUAUGGAUGUUUCGGAGAAAGAUGAGAUUUCACCUUAGGAGGGGCCUGCGUCCCAUCAGUUAGAUGGUAGGGUAAUGGCCUACCAUGACAUCGACGGGUAACUGGUCUGAGAGGAUGGCCAGUCACACUGGGACUGAGACACGGCCCAGACUCCUACGGGAGGCAGCAGUGGGGAAUAUUGGACAAUGGGCGAAAGCCUGAUCCAGCCACGCCGCGUGAAGGAAGAAGGUCUUCGGAUCG
RNAcentral lists this ribosomal RNA (400 nucleotides) under uncultured bacterium. RNAcentral's name for it is "bacterial SSU rRNA". It matches the Rfam family "Bacterial small subunit ribosomal RNA", at positions 29 to 425 of the family's 1533-position model. The record is from RNAcentral.